AGCGAACGCUGGCGGCAGGCCUAACACAUGCAAGUCGAGCGCUCGUGGCAAUACGGGAGCGGCAGACGGGAGAGUAACACGUGGGAACGUACCCUUCGGUUCGGAAUAACCCAGGGAAACUUGGCUAAUACCGGAUACGUCCGCAAGGAGAAAGAUUUAUUGCCGAAGGAUCGGCCCGCGUCCGAUUAGCUAGUUGGUGG
Molecule: ribosomal RNA, 200 nt
Filed under: uncultured bacterium
Lineage: Bacteria
Description: partial 16S ribosomal RNA
Rfam family: Bacterial small subunit ribosomal RNA
Source: RNAcentral